This 22-nucleotide non-coding RNA is filed under the name Arabidopsis thaliana (thale cress). The record is from RNAcentral. Lineage: Eukaryota; Viridiplantae; Streptophyta; Magnoliopsida; Brassicales; Brassicaceae.
UCUCUGCUUCUGUGCUAUUUGA